This 554-nucleotide ribosomal RNA is filed under the name uncultured bacterium. Its description in RNAcentral is "bacterial SSU rRNA". It matches the Rfam family "Bacterial small subunit ribosomal RNA", at positions 57 to 608 of the family's 1533-position model. The record is from RNAcentral.
GCAAGUCGAACGGUAACAUUUCUAGCUUGCUAGAAGAUGACGAGUGGCGGACGGGUGAGUAAUGCUUGGGAACUUGCCUUUACGAGGGGGAUAACAGUUGGAAACGACUGCUAAUACCGCAUAAUGUCUUCGGACCAAACGGGGCUUCGGCUCCGGCGCAAAGAGAGGCCCAAGUGAGAUUAGCUAGUUGGUAAGGUAACGGCUUACCAAGGCGACGAUCUCUAGCUGUUCUGAGAGGAAGAUCAGCCACACUGGGACUGAGACACGGCCCAGACUCCUACGGGAGGCAGCAGUGGGGAAUAUUGCACAAUGGGGGAAACCCUGAUGCAGCCAUGCCGCGUGUGUGAAGAAGGCCUUCGGGUUGUAAAGCACUUUCAGUUGUGAGGAAAAGUUAGUAGUUAAUACCUGCUAGCCGUGACGUUAACAACAGAAGAAGCACCGGCUAACUCCGUGCCAGCAGCCGCGGUAAUACGGAGGGUGCGAGCGUUAAUCGGAAUUACUGGGCGUAAAGCGCACGCAGGCGGUUUGUUAAGCUAGAUGUGAAAGCCCCGGGC